CAAAGAUGAGUCCCUAAUAAAUGC
This 24-nucleotide non-coding RNA is filed under the name Rattus norvegicus (Norway rat). The record is from RNAcentral. Lineage: Eukaryota; Metazoa; Chordata; Mammalia; Rodentia; Muridae.